This 210-nucleotide ribosomal RNA is filed under the name uncultured bacterium. RNAcentral describes it as "partial 16S ribosomal RNA". It matches the Rfam family "Bacterial small subunit ribosomal RNA", at positions 137 to 334 of the family's 1533-position model. The record is from RNAcentral.
UGGGGGAUAACGUCCCGAAAGGGACGCUAAUACCGCAUGACAUCCUGCCUUUGAACAGGCGGAGAUCAAAGCUGGGGAUCGCAAGACCUGGCGCUCAAAGAGGGGCCCGCGCCUGAUUAGCUAGUUGGUGGGGUAACGGCUCACCAAGGCAUCGAUCAGUAUCCGGCCUGAGAGGGCGGACGGACACACUGGGACUGAGACACGGCCCAG